AUUGAACGCUGGCGGCAUGCCUAACACAUGCAAGUCGAACGGCAGCACGGCAGUAGCAAUACUGUGGGUGGCGAGUGGCGGACGGGUGAGGAAUACGUCGGAAUCUGCCCAGUCGUGGGGGAUAACUAGCCGAAAGGUUAGCUAAUACCGCAUACGACCGAGAGGUGAAAGCGGGGGACCGCAAGGCCUCGCGCGAUUGGAUGAGCCGACGUCGGAUUAGCUAGUUGGUGGGGUAAAGGCCCACCAAGGCGACGAUCCGUAGCUGGUCUGAGAGGAUGAUCAGCCACACUGGAACUGAGACACGGUCCAGACUCCUACGGGGGGCAGCAGUGGGGAAUAUUGGACAAUGGGCGCAAGCCUGAUCCAGCAAUGCCGCGUGUGUGAAGAAGGCCUGGUGUAAGCACUUUAUUACAGGAACGAAAGACGUUGGUAUUAAUACUACUGACGUGCUGAC
This 454-nucleotide ribosomal RNA is filed under the name uncultured bacterium. Its description in RNAcentral is "bacterial SSU rRNA". It matches the Rfam family "Bacterial small subunit ribosomal RNA", at positions 29 to 482 of the family's 1533-position model. The record is from RNAcentral.